This 223-nucleotide ribosomal RNA is filed under the name uncultured Pelotomaculum sp. RNAcentral describes it as "partial 16S ribosomal RNA". It matches the Rfam family "Bacterial small subunit ribosomal RNA", at positions 1160 to 1382 of the family's 1533-position model. The record is from RNAcentral. Lineage: Bacteria; Bacillati; Bacillota; Clostridia; Eubacteriales; Desulfotomaculaceae.
AAAACGGAGGAAGUGGGGAUGACGUCAAAUCAUCAUGCCCCUUAUGUUCUGGGCUACACACGUGCUACAAUGGCCGGUACAGACGGAGGCGAAGCCGCGAGGCGGAGCAAAUCCGAAAAAAGCCGGUCUCAGUUCGGAUUGCAGGCUGCAAUUCGCCUGCAUGAAGUCGGAAUCGCUAGUAAUCGCAGGUCAGCAUACUGCGGUGAAUACGUUCCCGGGCCUU